RNAcentral lists this transfer RNA (69 nucleotides) under Eleginus gracilis (saffron cod). RNAcentral describes it as "tRNA-Glu". It matches the Rfam family "tRNA". From Rfam's summary of the family: Transfer RNA (tRNA) molecules are approximately 80 nucleotides in length. Their secondary structure includes four short double-helical elements and three loops (D, anti-codon, and T loops). Lineage: Eukaryota; Metazoa; Chordata; Actinopteri; Gadiformes; Gadidae. The record is from RNAcentral. RNAcentral also lists the same sequence under 1 other name.
GUUCUUGUAGUUGAAUAACAACGGUGGUUUUUCAUAUCAUUAGUCCUGGCUAAAAUCCGGGCAGGAAUU